RNAcentral lists this ribosomal RNA (459 nucleotides) under uncultured bacterium. RNAcentral's name for it is "partial 16S ribosomal RNA". It matches the Rfam family "Bacterial small subunit ribosomal RNA", at positions 338 to 795 of the family's 1533-position model. The record is from RNAcentral.
CCUACGGGUGGCAGCAGUGAGGAAUAUUGGUCAAUGGGCGGGAGCCUGAACCAGCCAAGUCGCGUGAGGGAAGAAGGUACUGAGUAUUGUAAACCUCUUUUGCCAGGGGACAAAGGCGGCCACGGGUGGCCGGAAGAGGGUACCUGGAGAAAAAGCAUCGGCUAACUCCGUGCCAGCAGCCGCGGUAAAACGGAGGAUGCGAGCGUUAUCCGGUUUUAUUGGGUUUAAAGGGUGCGCAGGCGGCGUGUAAAGUCAGCGGUAAAAUGGCGGGGCUCAACCCCGGCCAGCCGUUGAAACUGGCAUUCUUGAGUUGGAGAGAAGUAUGCGGAAUGCGUGGUGUAGCGGUGAAAUGCAUAGAUAUCACGCAGAACCCCGAUUGCGAAGGCAGCAUACCGGCUCCACACUGACGCUGAGGCACGAAAGCGUGGGUAUCGAACAGGAUUAGAUACCCUGGUAGUC